ACUAAAUUUGAGAGCUAAACACAAGAGAAAUAGAGAGUGUUAGGAAUCAAACAGAAGUGAGAGAGUUUAGGAACUAGAAAAUAGAGCCUAGUGAGGGGUGUGCAUUGCAGAAUAGGAAUUCACUUCUUCCCAGUUAAGGUGAGUUCGUUCCUUUUUUUCUUGUGUGGUUCUUUCUUUCCUUGAUGUCUUACAAUCGUCCUUAAAUAGUUUUAAGCACAUAAAUCACCACACCAAGCUUCAAACCUUAAGCUCUUCUCUGCUGCACCUAAAUAGAGGAUCUGUAUAGGAAAGUUGCAAUUAGCGUUUCCUAUUUUGGAGACAAUUUCCUCGUGUGUUUACCUUGAUUCUUCGUGCAUCAGUGAGGAAUGCUUUUGGGACUUGUAAGCAAAUUAAAGUGGAUUGGAACAAGAUUUGGGCGAAAAAGGGUCGAAACAUGAAGAUGUGGAAGACAUGGCCAUAACACAUGACUAUAUGUUACAGAGCCAACGUUUCUGUUUCUGAAGCAGAGUGAGACAUAACCAUGUUCCUAGAAGACACGGUCAUAUGCCCUAUACUUAGUUAACACACGACCAUGUGUUAAGAAAGCAACAUUUCUAUUUUGCUCGGUGAAAGAGACACGACCGUGUCGUGUUUAAAAAUUAGAAAUUGACGUAAUUUUGAGGAAGACACGGCCGUAUGUCAAUUCGACACGGCCGUGGGAUGUGCCAAAUUAAAAAAUUAGGUCUUGAACGCUAUAAAAAGGAUAGGAGCCCAAAAAGAAAAAGAAACUGAAGGAGGAGAAAAGAGAAGAUGACUGCAAACAUAAAGAACUUCUUCUAAUCAGUUAUUCUUAAUUGUUUCAUAUUUCCUUUAGAUUUCACUCUUGCAAUGUUUUUUAGGAUGUGUAACUAAAUUAUUCUAUUGGGAUCUUUGAUAAAACCCUAA
Long non-coding RNA from Carica papaya (papaya), 924 nucleotides. RefSeq lists it as uncharacterized. The record is from RefSeq and is a predicted model, not a curated record. NCBI's taxonomy places the organism in Eukaryota, Viridiplantae, Streptophyta, Magnoliopsida, Brassicales, Caricaceae.